Molecule: long non-coding RNA, 1149 nt
Filed under: Hordeum vulgare
Lineage: Eukaryota; Viridiplantae; Streptophyta; Magnoliopsida; Poales; Poaceae
Description: long non-coding RNA (HVUL_LNC007878)
Source: RNAcentral
AACUAUGCCAUGUUGCUUUAAGUCAUGUUUCUGUGAACAGAAAAAAUAACUUGAAAAAGAAGGCGAAUGAAGACACAUAGUACACCUAAAAGAAAUUUCUCUAUGGAGACUAAUGCUCCAAAGGAGCUUACAUUUUUACAACAAGCCUUGGGAAGACACGACGCCUCUCUGUACCGAAUCUACAACAGAAACUGAAACAAUUGCUCAGCUAUAGAAAAUAGUCAGUGAUAAUUUGGUAGCCAUUCGGCAAUUGGGAUCUGCUCAAGGAAAUUAAUUAACAGUCUGCCACAUAUACAUGAUUCUUUUUCAGCUGCAAUGUCCACUUAGCAACAAUAAUAUCGAGGGAAAAUAUACAUGACUGAACAUCUUCAGUAUACCAUUAUUGUAUACUUGUAUUUACUUAAUGGUUUGUGAAGUCAUUAGGCAAGAAUAUCGAGGGAGUUCAUAAACUGCACUUUACUAAGAUAAAUUCAGUAGAUCAAUCACUCUAGUGAAACUUAGAAUUCAAGAUUUUUGUCUCGUACACUUUACUAAGCUGCACUUUACUAUAAACUGCACUUUAUUAAACUAUACUAAAAACUGGUAAACUGCACUUUACUGAAAUAAAUUUAAUAGAUCAAACACUGUGGCAAAACUUAGAAUUCAAGAUUUCUGUCUCGUACACUUUACUAAGCUGCACUUUACUAUAAACUGCACUUUAUUAAGCUAUACUAAAACUGAUAUAAACUACACUUUACUAAGAUAAAUUCAGUAGAUCAAACAACGCGAAACUUAGAAUUCAAGAUUUCUUUCUCUACACUUUACUAAGCUGCACUUUACUAUAAACCGCACUUUAUUAAGCUGUACUAAAACUAAUAAAGUGCACUUUACUAAGUUAUACACCAACUGAUUCAGAACCAACAUGGUGUACCUUGUGAAUAUGUACAGAAAGUGCGUGUCCGAAGAGGCUGAUGUGCUCGCAUGAAAGGGGAAAAGGCAGCGUAGACCAUGAUGAACUAUGUGCUUGCUCGUCGACGCAGUGUUGCGCUGCGCUUGUGAGGCGGCCUUGCAGUCCCUGACCGAGCUCGCCCGCACGGGGUGCGACCUCCAAGCGGUCAAAGGACGGUGAGCGGGCGUGCGAGCAGGGUACGCGACCUCCACACAAUCCUG